GGGAAGGUGGCUCAGUGGUAGAGUGCUUGCCUUGCAUGCAUGAGGCCCUGGGUUUGAUUCCUCACCAUCUAA
This 72-nucleotide transfer RNA is filed under the name Dipodomys ordii (Ord's kangaroo rat). It matches the Rfam family "tRNA". From Rfam's summary of the family: Transfer RNA (tRNA) molecules are approximately 80 nucleotides in length. Their secondary structure includes four short double-helical elements and three loops (D, anti-codon, and T loops). Further hydrogen bonds mediate the characteristic L-shaped molecular structure. tRNAs have two regions of fundamental functional importance: the anti-codon, which is responsible for specific mRNA codon recognition, and the 3' end, to which the tRNAs corresponding amino acid is attached (by aminoacyl-tRNA synthetases). tRNAs cope with the degeneracy of the genetic code in two manners: having more than one tRNA (with a specific anti-codon) for a particular amino acid; and 'wobble' base-pairing, i.e. permitting non-standard base-pairing at the 3rd anti-codon position. Lineage: Eukaryota; Metazoa; Chordata; Mammalia; Rodentia; Heteromyidae. The record is from Rfam by way of RNAcentral.